GCGCUGCCUUUGAGCCCCCGCCGCGCCUGCAUGUGGCGCCGGGGGUUAAGCUACAGCGCCAGAGCACGUGCUCGCGCAUAACUGGGGUCGCCAACCCCCUGCGGACGGCCCUUUUAACCGCGAGCUACACGG
RNAcentral lists this small nucleolar RNA (132 nucleotides) under Procavia capensis (Cape rock hyrax). The record is from RNAcentral. Lineage: Eukaryota; Metazoa; Chordata; Mammalia; Hyracoidea; Procaviidae.